AGUAUUCAGACUGCUGUCUCGAAUCUGUCC
Molecule: non-coding RNA, 30 nt
Filed under: Rattus norvegicus (Norway rat)
Lineage: Eukaryota; Metazoa; Chordata; Mammalia; Rodentia; Muridae
Source: RNAcentral